RNAcentral lists this ribosomal RNA (406 nucleotides) under uncultured bacterium. RNAcentral describes it as "partial 16S ribosomal RNA". It matches the Rfam family "Bacterial small subunit ribosomal RNA", at positions 29 to 526 of the family's 1533-position model. The record is from RNAcentral.
AUUGAACGCUGGCGGCAGGCCUAACACAUGCAAGUCGAGCGAGCGGCGGACGGACGAGUAAGGUCUGGGAGACUGACUGACGGAGGGGGGGGAAUACUAGAAAGGGAAGAUAAUACCAAAUCCCAUCAGAUGGGCCCAGAUGGGAUUAGCUAGUUGGUGGGGUAACGGCUCACCUAGGCGACGGUCCAUAGCUGGUCUGAGAGGAUGACCAGCCACACUGGAACUGAGACACGGUCCAGACUCCUACGGGAGGCAGCAGUGGGGAAUAUUGCACAAUGGGCGAAAGCCUGAUGCAGCCAUGCCGCGUGUGUGAAGAAGGCCUUCGGGUUGUAAAGCACUUUCAGCGGGGAGGCGUUACCCGCAGAAGAAGCACCGGCUAACUCCGUGCCAGCAGCCGCGGUAAUAC